RNAcentral lists this non-coding RNA (675 nucleotides) under Pan troglodytes (chimpanzee). Lineage: Eukaryota; Metazoa; Chordata; Mammalia; Primates; Hominidae. The record is from RNAcentral.
GGAAACAAGAGCUAGACUACCUGCUCGUGAUCCCAGGAGGCUAAUGGAACAGUGAUGUAUCGCGGUUCCUGCCUCGUGAAUUUGGAAGCAGGAUUCUGCUCCUAGACAUCUUCUCCUAUGGAUUUCUCCUGGGCAAGAAUGGCAUCUCGGUGCAGGACCCGCAGCACUUUCUCUGGCUCCGCAGACCCGUAAUGAGCCUCCAGAACCUCAGGCUUGGUUUUCUCUGUCUUCAGCAUGUGGAUCACAUCUUCUCUGGCCUGUAAUAGAAAGUGCAGCAAGAUCAGACGACUGACAAUAAUUAUUUCAAACACACCAGUAAAGCCAGAGGUAAAACAGCCACUGAGCUGGUAAUAAUCAUGGAAAGAGGCUGGGUGUGGUGGCUCACACCUGUAAUCCCAGCACUUUGGGAGGCCGAGGCAGAUGGGUCACCUUAAGUCAGGAGUUCAAGACCAGCCUGGCCAAACAUAGUGAAACCCUAUCUCUACCAAAAAUACAAAAAUUAGCCAGGCGUUGUGGCGUGCGCCUGUAGUCCCAGCUACUUGGGAGGCUGAGGCAAGAGAAUCUCUUGAACCCAGGAGGCGGAGGUCACAAUGAGUCACAGUGAGCCAAGAUUGCGCAACUGCACUCCAGCCUCGGCGACAGAGGGAGACUCUGUCUCAAAAGAAUAAUAGAGAU